GCCGGGCGUGGGUGGUGCACGCCUGUAGUCCCAGCUACUCGGGAGGCUGAGGUGGGAGAAUCUCUUGAACCCGGGAGGCGGAGAUUGCAGUGAGCUGAGCUCAGGCCACUGCACUCCAGCCUGGGCAACAGAGCGAGACUCCAUCUCAA
This 149-nucleotide non-coding RNA is filed under the name Nomascus leucogenys (northern white-cheeked gibbon). Lineage: Eukaryota; Metazoa; Chordata; Mammalia; Primates; Hylobatidae. The record is from Rfam by way of RNAcentral.